UUGUCAAGUACUUUACUGGUCAAGGUGUAU
RNAcentral lists this non-coding RNA (30 nucleotides) under Homo sapiens (human). The record is from RNAcentral. Lineage: Eukaryota; Metazoa; Chordata; Mammalia; Primates; Hominidae.